This 468-nucleotide ribosomal RNA is filed under the name uncultured bacterium. RNAcentral describes it as "partial 16S ribosomal RNA". It matches the Rfam family "Bacterial small subunit ribosomal RNA", at positions 28 to 507 of the family's 1533-position model. The record is from RNAcentral.
GACGAACGCUGGCGGCGUGCUUAACACAUGCAAGUCGAACGGAAAGGCCCUGCUUUUGUGGGGUGCUCGAGUGGCGAACGGGUGAGUAACACGUGAGUAACCUGCCCUUGACUUUGGGAUAACUUCAGGAAACUGGGGCUAAUACCGGAUAGGAGCUCCUGCUGCAUGGUGGGGGUUGGAAAGUUUCGGCGGUUGGGGAUGGACUCGCGGCUUAUCAGCUUGUUGGUGGGGUAGUGGCUUACCAAGGCUUUGACGGGUAGCCGGCCUGAGAGGGUGACCGGCCACAUUGGGACUGAGAUACGGCACAGACUCCUACGGGAGGCAGCAGUGGGGAAUAUUGCACAAUGGGCGGAAGCCUGAUGCAGCAACGCCGCGUGCGGGAUGACGGCCUUCGGGUUGUAAACCGCUUUCGCCUGUGACGAAGCGUGAGUGACGGUAAUGGGUAAAGAAGCGCCGGCUAACUACGUG